Culex pipiens pallens (northern house mosquito) is the source of this 2918-nucleotide RNA transcript. It is a transcript of the gene named mediator of RNA polymerase II transcription subunit 16-like, with no coding region annotated. The transcript is spliced from 4 exons. The record is from RefSeq and is a predicted model, not a curated record. NCBI's taxonomy places the organism in Eukaryota, Metazoa, Arthropoda, Insecta, Diptera, Culicidae.
UCCCUGCGUGUCGUCGGUGGUCGGUUUUUUUCUCCGCUCGAAACCUUUUUUUGAGUUUCGCUAAAUUUCAUUGUGAAAUUACGGGAAAGUAGUGUUUUAUUACGGAAUACCGUACAUAACAUUGUACGCAACGGUUUGUGAUUCAAGUGCAGCACAUCCGGCGGUGUUUGGUUGGCCAAAAUGGAGCUCCUCUACAUGACCCAUCGCAAGUCGAACAGCGUCUCUUUCGUCGAAACUCAGCAAAACUUUGAGUUCUUCUCGACGACGUCGACGUGCAACGUGCUGGCCUUUACGACGACGAACGAGCUGACGGAACCGUCGCCGAUCCAGGGCUGGGGCUUCCACAUUUACGUGGCGGAUUUGAACACGCCGUGGUUCCCGUACCGGGUCACGACCAGCAAGUAUCCGGUGUCGGUGCUGGAGUGGGACGUGUUGGGGCGGUUUUUGCUGGUGGGCGAUCGGAAUGGGAAUGUGCAGCUGUUUGCGCAGAAGGGAACGCUGUCGGAGUGGAAGGCGGUUUACAGCGUGCGGUUCCCGGGGGAGAAUAUCAUUGCGGCGGCUUUCUUUCAUAAUGGGCGGAAGAUUAGCCUGCAGAUGGACAAGAAGGAGCACUCGUUGUACGUGGAGAAGUUUCCGAAGGGGAAGUUUAGCGCCAGUGUGCGGCAGUUUGGCGGAGUUCCGGUGGAGGGGGUUGUGAUUGUUUCGGCGACGGGGAUGUUGGGGGCGUUUGCGAUUCCGGCGGAUUCGAACGUGAAUAUAAUGAAGCAGCAGGAGCCGAUGGUGUUGACGCCGGUGACGGAGAGUUUGGGCAUUACGAGGAACUUUUACACGACGGCGGACAUUUGCUACGGGAAGAGUGGCCACUUUAUGAUAGCGGCUGGGAAUGGGGAUACAAAGUCGGCGAAUUCGGGCAUGAUUCAGUGCUUUAGGGUUGCGGUGACGGUGAAGAAGGGGUGUGAAACGCUGGAGAUUGGUAGUUCUGCACUUCCGAGCUUUUUCCUGGCGGAAGGUUUGGGGAAGGAUCUGAAAGAGCUGCGAGUGGCGCACAUCAAGUGGGUUUCCAAUGAGGACGCUGAUUCGUUGAUUGUGGCGUCGAAUUAUGCUGGAGGUGGGAGUUUCAUUGAGCAGUGGGAACUGACGGAGGAAUCGAUGCCGAUUCACAAGCUGUUCCAGAGCAGCAAGAACGAGUCGUUCAAGACGAUUUUGUGGACGAGCAAAACCAAGUACGUGUACAACUCGAAGGUGGUCAAGGUUUGCUCGACGAGGUUGAACUUUAUGAACUGUUCGUUCAUCUAUCUGGCCAUGAGCGACAACAGCAUCCACUGUCUGCAGCGGGACACGUUCAAGAGGUUGACCUGCACGAACAUUAUUUCGAUUCGCGACCCGAACGAUCAUGCGAGCAAGCAAAUUCGACUUGGCGUCAAGAUCGGAGCUAUAAACGUGUCGUAUUUGGGUCAUUUGUUUGUGGCGCUCGACACAACGGGUCAGAUCUACACGUACCGGUGCAACUUUAUGAUCCAGGACCAGCUGGGAACGCCGGCGUUAAUCGUUCAAACGGUAAACUUGCUCGAGUUCUGCCUGGUCACCGGCUUCGACUGUUUGGAGAUUCUGCUCACGCUCAAGCCGCAAAUCCUGGACAACAUCCUGGAGCGCCUCACGGACAAUUUUAACCGGCAACCGCCCAACGUUCAGCAGUAUUACUACGUGAACUUCCUCACGAUGAAGAUCGCCCUGUACCGACUUUCGAUCACGGGUCAGCAAAAGGCGCACGACCUGUCCAAUCUGCUCAUUCUGCACUCGAUCUUGAUCGCCUUCAAGAGCUUGCUCCGCCCGUCGGAUCUGACCUCACACGACAAGGGACCAGCGGAGAACCUCGCCAUGGUCCUCUCGGAGUCGGUGCAGGACGUCGACAAGGUGCUCCUCAAUCUUGAGGCCAAAGACUUCACCAUGGAGCGUCCAACGCUACAGAGCCUUCAGCAGCUGAUCCAGUGGGUGGCCGACCUGGCGCUCAACAUCCUGGCCAAACUGCCCGAAAGUCGCAGCUUCAUGUCCAGCAAGCAGGGCUACGACAUCAGCAAGGACAUUGUCGCACUCAACAGCAUCCGCGAACUGCUGGUCAUGAUUCGCAUCUGGGGACUGCUCAAUCCACAAUGCCUACCGGUGUUCUCCCGCUCAACCGACAACCUGGACAUCCUCGUCACACUGUUCCGUCUGCUCACCAAACUCUCCCUCAACCCCAACGAGCCAGACGACCUCCUACUCGACGAGUGCUGCCUCCUCCCCAACCAGGUCCUCAUCCCCCAGCUCCAGUUCGUGCCCUCACGAACCAUGAUCGCUUCCCCGCUACUCCCGCACGUCAGCCUGCCGGUAAUCUGCGAUUACGGCGUCGAGAACGAAACGCUCAAAUUCUGCCCGGAAAUUCCGAUCGUCGAGGGUGGCCUCUCGAACGACAACGUGAUCGACUCGGUGAUGUACCUGCAGCUGGGCCGGAAGCCACCCUCGCUGCGCCGCUGCAGCCGGUGCGGAUCGUGCAGCAGUCCGGUCAGCGUGGCGAAAACACCCGCCAUGAAGGCCUGGGAGCAGCGCUGGAUCGACAAGUGUCGAUGCAACGGUUUUUGGAGACUGGAGCUAGCGUAAUUGAUUGCUCAUCGCGCGAACAAACUACAAAAAACAAGGGAUUUCAGGUGAGAUUUCACUGCGAGAAGUGAAUUGUUGAAAAAAGUUAUCCCUACUUCUUUCACGUUAAUCAUCAUCUCAGCCACAAUUGGAAACGGUUCGCGAGCGAGCGCGUGGAUUUAUAUAUUUUUUAUACUGGAAUAGAAGUGUAUGUGUUUUUUUUUUGUUUCUUGUAUGUGUAGAAUAUAUAAUAUAUAUUAUCAGUAUAAUAUUAUAUUUAAUAAAAAGUUUUUAAACUCGUA